CACGUAGGGGGGCGAGCGUUUGUCCGGAUUUAUUGGGCGUAAAGAGCUCGUAGGCGGCUCGGUAAGUCGGGUGUGAAAUCCCCCGGGCUCAACCUGGGAACUGCAUCCGAAACUGCCUUGCUAGAGUAUGGGAGAGGGAAGUGGAAUUUCCGGUGUAGUGGUGAAAUGCGUAGAUAUCGGAAGGAACAUCAGUGGCGAAAGCGACUUCCUGGACCAAUACUGACGCUCAUGUGCGAAAGCGUGGGGAGCAAACAGG
This 256-nucleotide ribosomal RNA is filed under the name uncultured bacterium. Its description in RNAcentral is "partial 16S ribosomal RNA". It matches the Rfam family "Bacterial small subunit ribosomal RNA", at positions 524 to 776 of the family's 1533-position model. The record is from RNAcentral.